This 253-nucleotide ribosomal RNA is filed under the name uncultured bacterium. RNAcentral describes it as "partial 16S ribosomal RNA". It matches the Rfam family "Bacterial small subunit ribosomal RNA", at positions 524 to 776 of the family's 1533-position model. The record is from RNAcentral.
UACGGAAGGCGCGAGCGUUGUUCGGAAUCAUUGGGCGUAAAGCGCGUGUAGGCGGCUUGGUAAGUCGAGUGUGAAAGCCCGGGGCUCAACCCCGGAAGGUCGCUCGAAACUGCCUGGCUAGAGUCCCGGAGAGGAAGGCGGAAUUCCUGGUGUAGAGGUGAAAUUCGUAGAGAUCGGGAGGAACACCAGCGGCGAAGGCGGCCUUCUGGACGGUGACUGACGCUGAGACGCGAAAGCGUGGUGAGCAAACAGG